CCUACGGGAGGCAGCAGUGAGGAAUAUUGGUCAAUGGGCGCGAGCCUGAACCAGCCAAGUAGCGUGAAGGAUGACUGCCCUACGGGUUGUAAACUUCUGUGAUGGGGGAUGAACACAAUGACGGUACCCCAAUAGCAAGCCACGGCUAACUACGUGCCAGCAGCCGCGGUAAUACGUAGGUGGCAAGCGUUAUCCGGAAUGACUGGGCGUAAAGGGUGCGUAGGUGGUUUAGUAAGUUGGCGGUGUAAUUCCGGGGCUCAACCUCGGCGCUACCGCCAAAACUAUUAGACUAGAGUGCAGGAGGGGUAAGUGGAAUUCCUGGUGUAGCGGUGGAAUGCGUAGAUAUUAGGAGGAACAUCAGGGGCGAAGGCGACUUACUGGACUGUAACUGACACUGAGGCACGAAAGCGUGGGGAGCAAACAGGAUUAGAUACCCCGGUAGUC
Molecule: ribosomal RNA, 444 nt
Filed under: uncultured bacterium
Lineage: Bacteria
Description: partial 16S ribosomal RNA
Rfam family: Bacterial small subunit ribosomal RNA
Source: RNAcentral